UGCCCGAUGAGAAGUGCAGAUAAUCCUAGAAU
Molecule: non-coding RNA, 32 nt
Filed under: Homo sapiens (human)
Lineage: Eukaryota; Metazoa; Chordata; Mammalia; Primates; Hominidae
Source: RNAcentral